RNAcentral lists this ribosomal RNA (252 nucleotides) under uncultured bacterium. RNAcentral's name for it is "partial 16S ribosomal RNA". It matches the Rfam family "Bacterial small subunit ribosomal RNA", at positions 524 to 775 of the family's 1533-position model. The record is from RNAcentral.
UACGUAGGGUGCUAGCGUUGUUCGGAAUCAUUGGGCGUAAAGCGCGUGUAGGCGGCUAAUUAAGUCGAGUGUGAAAUCCCCAGGCUCAACCUGGGAAGUGCGUUCGAAACUCAUUAGCUGGAAGACGGUAGAGGAAGGUAGAAUUCCUAGUGUAGAGGUGAAAUUCGUAGAUAUUAGGAGGAACACCGGUUGCGAAGGCGGCCUUCUGGACCGUUCUUGACGCUGAGACGCGAAAGCGUGGGGAGCAAACAA